GCUAACGUCUCCGAUUCAGUAUGAUUCUCGCUUAGGGUGCGAGAGGUCCCAGGUUCGAUCCCUGGAUUGCGCC
Non-coding RNA from Xylogone sp. PMI_703, 73 nucleotides. The record is from the annotation of a GenBank genome assembly. NCBI's taxonomy places the organism in Eukaryota, Fungi, Ascomycota, Leotiomycetes.